AUUGAAAGUCAAAUUUUGAUGGAGUUCAUAUUAUUGUGCUAAAAAUUAAUGGGCAACUACCAAGAUUUUUUCAAACAUUUUAUUUUUCAAUUAAAGUUGACAUAUAAUAUUAUAUUAGUUCCAGGGAUACACUCCAGUGAUUAGACAUUACAUAACUUUCUAAAUGUACAUCCUAUAUUUCUUGUACCCAUCUGAUACCAUACAUAGUUAUUAGAAUAUUAUUGACUAUAUUCCCUAUACUGUAAUUUAUAUCCCCAUGACUAUUCUGGAACUAUCAACUUGUACUUAAUCCCUUCACCUUCUUCACCAGCCCCUCAACAAACCUCCCAUCUGCAAUCAUCAAAAUGUUCUGUGUAUCUAUGACUGUUUCUGCUGCAUCUUCAUUUAUUUUUUACAAUCAACUGUUGAUAGGCAUGUAUUAUUGCCAUUUAUUAUUCAUAUUUUUAUCUCUUUUUUCCUUCUUCUUAAGGGGUCUUAAAGAAGACCCUAUAACAUUUUGGGUAAUCAAGUAAUACUGGUUUGGUGGUAAAAAAAUUCUUUAGUUUUUCCUUGCCUAAAAAGCUCUUUCUGUGUCCUUUGAUUCUAAAUGAUAGCUUUGUUGGGUAAUCAUGGUUGUCAGGUCCUUCCUUUUCAUAACUUUGAAUAAUUCUUUGCCAAUCCCUUUGGGCCUGCUAAGCUUCUGUUGAGAAAUCAACGGGCAGUCUUAUGGGAGCGCCCUUGUAGGUAACUGUUUUAACCAACUGCUUUUCUCUUGCUACUUUUAUGAUUCUUUGUCUUUAAUCUUUGCGUUAUAAUUA
Phyllostomus discolor (pale spear-nosed bat) is the source of this 797-nucleotide long non-coding RNA. RefSeq lists it as uncharacterized. The record is from RefSeq and is a predicted model, not a curated record. The transcript is spliced from 3 exons. Lineage: Eukaryota; Metazoa; Chordata; Mammalia; Chiroptera; Phyllostomidae.